Non-coding RNA from Oncorhynchus mykiss (rainbow trout), 1014 nucleotides. The record is from RefSeq and is a predicted model, not a curated record. Lineage: Eukaryota; Metazoa; Chordata; Actinopteri; Salmoniformes; Salmonidae.
CUUUAUUUUGCCACAGUGUGGCUCUCCUAUGCAUGGCUGCUUCUGCCAUUGUGGCACAAGAAGGGAAUACCUCCUUGGUGCCUUCAUCCACAUCUUGGCAACAGUGGAGCAGAAGGACCAUCAGCCCUUGCUGCUGAGUGUGGCGACCGCAACACCAGAGCUGCAUUCGGUGGGCUCCGUGUACCUCUUCGCCAAGGAGUUUUUACAAUUUGGUUUUACAGCAGGAUGUGACUAGUGCUUUUGUGCGAUGUGGAUUCAUGUGGCGAACCAUUCCUGAUUGAUGGUCUAUAUACACUGCAAACUUUUGGCCUGGAACCCCAGCGGCCUUGAUACCAGCAGGAAGGCCUGCCAUUAUGUGCAAGGGCAUGGGUGUGACCCUGAGUACAGCUGGGUUUCCUGGGAGAUGGGCAGCCAUCUAUCGUGCAUGUCCUGACUCUGGAAUGGUUGACGUGAUUUGAAAUAAUGUGUCGCUUUUUCUUGGUUUUAUUCUCACUUGUUAUCUAACAAGAACCCAAGGUCAAGCACAUUAGACUUGACUGUGCCAUGAGUUUCAACUCUAUUUUACAAGCAGGUCAUUGUGCCGAUGUGAUGCAAGUAAAUGGUUUGAGGCCUUUUAUUAAACCAAGCGCGCUUAGGCAAUUGUAUAGUUCAACUAUGCUUAAAAGGAGAUCAGAAAUCCAUGGACUGUGAUAGACUUGUCUUCAUGAUCUCAAACCAGAUGACUUGUUUCAAGGCUCACGUAAUUCUCUCUCCAGUUGUAGCACCACUGCAUUGUCUGUAGUCGCCAGCGUUUUGAUAUUCAUAGAUACUGUUUCUACGACAGCCUAGAUAUGUGCUUCAUAACCGCUGCUAUUGACUCUGCAGUACCUUCACUGUCUGAAAAUGCCUGUAUUUGUGAAAUAAUUGAGUGCUGUAGUCUUGGUUAUUACAAUGGUAAAAAUAUGCGGAUGAGUCUGUAAGCGCUGCAGUAUUUAAGCUGUUUCUGUAGGUCAAGGUGAUGUCCUGAUUGGCGGG